CCCAGUAAAGCAGAGGCUCUGUAAGAGACUCAUGGCAGCCCUUCCCCCCCAUACCUCUAACCAAUGACCUCAGGGGCCUCGGGGACUGCAAAAGAUGCACCAUAUAACUCGCGUUGGAUCCUGUUCCAUCCCUUUCAAAAACUAGGGAGAGAAAGACCUCCCCAAGUAAGGAUUCUGUCACAAUGUGGCUCGUUUCAAAAGAACCUGCACCAUGCCCAGAACAGGGACAGAAAGUAACUUAUCCAGAAUCCCACAGAUGGUGGAGGAACAAGAAAGGCUGUCCAGGCUUCCGCACUAGGUCAGAAGUCCAUCGCCUUCAUCUACCUGAGUAUCCUAUAUGUAAAAAUACUCCAGGCCCCACCCCUCCUGCUUGGAACACAGCAUCA
Molecule: long non-coding RNA, 386 nt
Organism: Mus caroli (Ryukyu mouse)
Lineage: Eukaryota; Metazoa; Chordata; Mammalia; Rodentia; Muridae
Source: RefSeq, a predicted model, not a curated record